GGGCGAUUGACGCAAUUGGUUAGCGUGCUUCCUUUACACGGAAGAAGUUACAGGUUCGAGUCCUGUAUCGCCCAC
Molecule: transfer RNA, 75 nt
Filed under: Symmachiella macrocystis
Lineage: Bacteria; Pseudomonadati; Planctomycetota; Planctomycetia; Planctomycetales; Planctomycetaceae
Also listed under: 1 other name
Description: Planctomycetes bacterium CA54 tRNA-Val
Rfam family: tRNA
About the family: Transfer RNA (tRNA) molecules are approximately 80 nucleotides in length. Their secondary structure includes four short double-helical elements and three loops (D, anti-codon, and T loops).
Source: RNAcentral